GACGAACGCUGGCGGCGUGCUUAACACAUGCAAGUCGAACGAUGACGCGGUGCUUGCACCGUGGCUUAGUGGCGAACGGGUGAGUCAUACGUGAGUGACCUACCUUUCACUCUGGGAUAAGCCUGGGAAACUGGGUCUAAUACCGGAUACGACCAAUCUCUGCAUGGGGUGUUGGUGGAAAGCGUUAUGUAGUGGUUUUAGAUGGGCUCACGGCCUAUCAGCUUGCUGGUGAGGUCAUGGCUUACCAAGGCGACGACGGGUAGCCGGCCUGGGCGGGUGACAGGCCACACUGGGCCGGAGAUACGGCCCAGACCCGAAUGGGAGGCAGCGGAGGGGAGUAGUGCACAAGGGGCGGAAGGCUGAUGCAGCGACGCCGCGUGGGGGAAGACGGCCUGGGGGUUGUAAACCUCUGUUAGCAUCGAAGAAGCGAAAGUGACGGUAGGUGCAGAGAAAGCGCCGGCUAACUACGUG
This 471-nucleotide ribosomal RNA is filed under the name uncultured bacterium. RNAcentral's name for it is "partial 16S ribosomal RNA". It matches the Rfam family "Bacterial small subunit ribosomal RNA", at positions 28 to 507 of the family's 1533-position model. The record is from RNAcentral.